UCUUCCUCCAUAUCUUCUAUCACUUUGGAGUAUCCAAGAUACUUGUAGAUGAAGAAAGAGGUCAGCUGUCGAAGUUGUUCGCAGACUAGCAUCUUUGAGCCCCGGAUCUGUGCCAGUCUUCGCAUGAAUUUUUCUAUAAAAGCUAGACAACUUCGUGUGGCUACGAGCGAUCUAAGGAAUACCCUCUCCAACCAUUAGAUCNNNNN
This 206-nucleotide long non-coding RNA is filed under the name Elaeis guineensis (African oil palm). RNAcentral's name for it is "long non-coding RNA (EGUI_LNC062430)". The record is from RNAcentral. Lineage: Eukaryota; Viridiplantae; Streptophyta; Magnoliopsida; Arecales; Arecaceae.